RNAcentral lists this ribosomal RNA (425 nucleotides) under uncultured bacterium. Its description in RNAcentral is "bacterial SSU rRNA". It matches the Rfam family "Bacterial small subunit ribosomal RNA", at positions 359 to 776 of the family's 1533-position model. The record is from RNAcentral.
GAAUAUUGGACAAUGGGCGAAAGCCUGAUCCAGCGACGCCGCGUGGGUGAAGAAGGCCUGCGGGUUGUAAAGCCCUUUCGGUGGGGAUGAAAAGCUUUGACCUAACACGUCAGGGUCUUGACCUAACCCAAGAAAGAAGCACCGGCUACCUCUGUGCCAGCAGCCGCGGUAAUACAGAGGGUGCGAGCGUUAAUCGGAAUUACUGGGCGUAAAGCGCGCGUAGGUGGCUUUGCAAGUCGAUUGUGAAAGCCCCGGGCUUAACCUGGGAACUGCAGUCGAGACUGCUUUGCUUGAGUAUGGGAGAGGGAGGUGGAAUUUCCGGUGUAGCGGUGAAAUGCGUAGAUAUCGGAAGGAACAUCAGUGGCGAAGGCGACCUCCUGGACCAAUACUGACACUCAAGUGCGAAAGCGUGGGGAGCAAACAGG